GGGCCGAAGAAGCCCUGGAGGGGGAGAGGGGAGCCGCUCUCGACUGGGCCUGCGGCGUGGGAGGGACAGUGAGGACACUUAGGGACUGUGUGGGGCAGUGAAGGACAGUGUGGGAUGAGGAGGGACGGUGUGGGCCGGUGAGGGACUGCGUGGGACAGUGCGGGACAAUGAGAGACGGUGUGGGACAGUGAGGGACAGUGUGGGACAGUGAGGGACAGUGUGGGACGGUGUGUAGGACAGUGUGGGACGGUGAGGGACUGUGUGGGGCAGUGAGGGACUCUGGGACUGUGAGGGACUCGGACAGUGAAGGAUGGCAAGGGAUAGUGUGGGACAGUAUGGGACAGUGGACUGAGGUACAGUGAGGGGCGGUGAGGAACAGUGAGGGACUGUGUGGGACAAUGAAGGAUGGCAAGGGACAGUGUGGGACAGUGGACGGUGAGGUACUGUGAGGGUCGGUGAGGGACAGUGUGGGACUGUGAGGGAUGGCGAGGGACAGAGUAGAACAGCAAGGGAGGAUGAGGGGACAGAGUGGGCCGGCGUGGGGCGGUGAGGCCACGCGGGGGAAGCCCAGGGAUCCUCUGACUGCGUUGGAAAAUGGAGGAAAGGUCCCGCUGGAGGUUGAGCCCUUCAGGGUCGCUGUGGGUUUCCAGGAGGAGCUCCCCCACUACUGACUUAGGGGGCCCUCGGCUUCCCAGUGUCAGAAGAAGCUGUCUUUGGAGUGAGAACAAGGGUGAGGUUCUGGCUCAGAAACCUUAGAAUCACGGACACUGUUUUCCUGAAAACAUUGCUUCUUUCUCUCCUCUCAAAGAAAUGCCACAAGUCGUAUGUUUCCCCACUGCGAGCCCUUCGAGAACAAUGUCAUGUUGAUCGAUGGCAGUGACUCACGCCAGACCUUUCCAUGCCUCCUCUGCAAGGACUCAAGAGAGUCGAGGGCAAAACCGUGCCAUAGUUCCAUGAAGGAGGGCAAAGAGCUUUAUCCAUGCUGAGGAACAGGCAGAUCAUGUGGCUACAGCACUGGUCUUUACCUUUUAACUGCUUGAUUCGAAACAUUCCAGCCAGGAACAGUGGCUCACACCUGUAAUCCCAGCACUUUGGGAGGCCAAGGCGGGUGGAUCGCUUGAGCUCAGGAGUUCGAAACCAGCCUGGGCAACCUGGCAAAACCCCAUCUCUACAAAAAAAUACAAAAAUUAGCCAGGCCUGGUGUGUGUGCCUGUAGUUCCAGCUACUCGGCAGGCUGCGGCCGGAGGAUCACUUGAGCCCAGGAAGUGGAGGUUGCAGUGAGCUGAGAUCGUGCUGCUGCACUCCAGCCUGGGUGACAGAGCCAGACAUUGUCUCUAUAAAAAAAAAAAAAAGAAAAGAAAAGAAAAAAGAGAAAUGGUCCAAGACUAUGGAGAAAGCCUUCUUUGGGGUCAGUGUGAACCAUUCUUUCGUUCGUUCAGCAAAUGCUUACUGAGGAGCUACCGUGUCCCUGAAAUUGCCUCCACCUCCAAGAAGACAGUGGUGAGCAAGUCAGACAAUACCUCUAAUCUCAUGGAAUUUAUAAGUAAAUGGGCCAUUACAAUUACCAGAUCAGAAGUGCUGUGAUGAGCAAAUAGAGGCUCAUGGGAAACUCCUAAGAAGGGCUUCUGAGCUGGACUUGGGGGUCAGGAAAGGCAGAAUGUGGGGGCUGACUCAUCCCGACCGGGGCGGGACUAGCGGGGGUGCCUCCCACUUACUGUCUGUCUCCUUCUAGACUGACUUCUCUGUCAUCAUGAAUACACCCCUUUAAGACAUACAUUUAAGAGAAAAUAAUAGGAUGCCUUAUUUAUUUAAAUGUUUGUUACAUUUUUACUAACAACCACAUACCCACAGGAAAGUCGCAAGUAGAACUCAAAAACUUUUUUCUCUGGGGCAGUGAAGAGUCAGUUGCCAGCCAGAAGGCCCAUAGAGCGUGAGCACUUCAGGGUGUGCUUCCUACAGAUAAGGACAUCCUGCUGCAUAACAGGAAAGGGGUCCUGAUCCAGACCCCAAGAGAGGGUUAUUGGAUCUCGCACAAGAAAGAAUUCAGGGUGA
Molecule: long non-coding RNA, 2052 nt
Filed under: Pongo abelii (Sumatran orangutan)
Lineage: Eukaryota; Metazoa; Chordata; Mammalia; Primates; Hominidae
Description: lincRNA
Source: RNAcentral